RNAcentral lists this ribosomal RNA (468 nucleotides) under uncultured bacterium. Its description in RNAcentral is "partial 16S ribosomal RNA". It matches the Rfam family "Bacterial small subunit ribosomal RNA", at positions 28 to 507 of the family's 1533-position model. The record is from RNAcentral.
GACGAACGCUGGCGGCGUGCUUAACACAUGCAAGUCGAACGGAAAGGCCCUGCUUUUGUGGGGUGCUCGAGUGGCGAACGGGUGAGUAACACGUGAGUAACCUGCCCUUGACUUUGGGAUAACUUCAGGAAACUGGGGCUAAUACCGGAUAGGAGCUCCUGCUGCAUGGUGGGGGUUGGAAAGUUUCGGCGGUUGGGGAUGGACUCGCGGCUUAUCAGCUUGUUGGUGGGGUAGUGGCUUACCAAGGCUUUGACGGGUAGCCGGCCUGAGCGGGUGACCGGCCACAUUGGGACUGAGAUACGGCCCAGACUCCUACGGGAGGCAGCAGUGGGGAAUAUUGCACAAUGGGCGGAAGCCUGAUGCAGCAACGCCGCGUGCGGGAUGACGGCCUUCGGGUUAUAAACCGCUUUCGCCUGUGACGAAGCGUGAGUGACGGUAAUGGGUAAAGAAGCACCGGCUAACUACGUG